UCUUCAUUCCUCGUUCUCUCUCACCGGUCAAAGUGACGAGAGAGUGUGUGCGAAAUGAAGAGA
RNAcentral lists this microRNA precursor (63 nucleotides) under Pristionchus pacificus. Its description in RNAcentral is "mir-8364 microRNA precursor family". It matches the Rfam family "mir-8364 microRNA precursor family". The record is from Rfam by way of RNAcentral. Lineage: Eukaryota; Metazoa; Nematoda; Chromadorea; Rhabditida; Neodiplogasteridae.